GAUGAACGCUGGCGGCGUGCCUAACACAUGCAAGUCGAACGGACAGACCCUGCUCUUGUUGGUUUCUCGAGUGGCGAACGCGUGAGUAACACGCGUGUAUCCUGCCCUUGUCUUAGGGGUAUCUUCAGGAAACUCCGGCUAAUACCGGAUAUGAGCUCCUGCUGCAUGUUGGUGGUUGGAAAGUUUCGGCUGUUGUGGAUGGACUCGCGGCUUAUCAGCUUGUUGGUGGGGUAGUGGCUUACCAAGGCUUUGACGGGUAGCCUGCCUGAGAGGGGGACCGGCCACAAUGGGACUGAGGGACGGCCCAGAAUGCAACGGGAGGCAACAGGGGGGAAUAUUGCACAAUGGGCGGGAGCCUGAUGCAGAAACGUCGCGAGCGGGAUGACGGCCUUCGGGUUGUAAACCGAUUUGGACUGUGACGAAGAGGGAGUGACGGUAAUGGGUAAAGAAGCAACGGCUAACUACGUG
This 468-nucleotide ribosomal RNA is filed under the name uncultured bacterium. RNAcentral's name for it is "partial 16S ribosomal RNA". It matches the Rfam family "Bacterial small subunit ribosomal RNA", at positions 28 to 507 of the family's 1533-position model. The record is from RNAcentral.